GGUUAACCGUAUAGGGGAGCCGAAGGGAAACCGAGUCUUAACUGGGCGUUAAGUUGCAGGGUAUAGACCCGAAACCCGGUGAUCUAGCCAUGGGCAGGUUGAAGGUUGGGUAACACUAACUGGAGGACCGAACCGACUAAUGUUGAAAAAUUAGCGGAUGACUUGUGGCUGGGGGUGAAAGGCCAAUCAAACCGGGAGAUAGCUGGUUCUCCCCGAAAGCUAUUUAGGUAGCGCCUCGUGAACUCAUCUUCGGGGGUAGAGCACUGUUUCGGCUAGGGGGUCAUCCCGACUUACCAACCCGAUGCAAACUGCGAAUACCGAAGAAUGUUAUCACGGGAGACACACGGCGGGUGCUAACGUCCGUCGUGAAGAGGGAAACAACCCAGACCGCCAGCUAAGGUCCCAAAGUCAUGGUUAAGUGGGAAACGAUGUGGGAAGGCACAGACAGCCAGGAUGUUGGCUUAGAAGCAGCCAUCAUUUAAAGAAAGCGUAAUAGCUCACUGGUCGAGUCGGCCUGCGCGGAAGAUGUAACGGGGCUAAACCAUGCACCGAAGCUGCGGCAGCGACACUAUGUGUUGUUGGGUAGGGGAGCGUUCUGUAAGCCGUUGAAGGUGUAUCGUGAGGUAUGCUGGAGGUAUCAGAAGUGCGAAUGCUGACAUAAGUAACGAUAAUGCGGGUGAAAAACCCGCACGCCGGAAGACCAAGGGUUCCUGUCCAACGUUAAUCGGGGCAGGGUGAGUCGACCCCUAAGGCGAGGCCGAAAGGCGUAGUCGAUGGGAAACAGGUUAAUAUUCCUGUACUUGGUGUUACUGCGAAGGGGGGACGGAGAAGGCUAUGUUAGCCGGGCGACGGUUGUCCCGGUUUAAGCAUGUAGGCGGAGGUUCCAGGUAAAUCCGGUACCUUUUAACGCUGAGGUGUGAUGACGAGGCACUACGGUGCUGAAGUAACAAAUGCCCUGCUUCCAGGAAAAGCCUCUAAGCAUCAGGUAACACGAAAUCGUACCCCAAACCGACACAGGUGGUCAGGUAGAGAAUACCAAGGCGCUUGAGAGAACUCGGGUGAAGGAACUAGGCAAAAUGGUGCCGUAACUUCGGGAGAAGGCACGCUGAUAUGUAGGUGAAGCGGUUUACCCGUGGAGCUGAAAUCAGUCGAAGAUACCAGCUGGCUGCAACUGUUUAUUAAAAACACAGCACUGUGCAAACACGAAAGUGGACGUAUACGGUGUGACGCCUGCCCGGUGCCGGAAGGUUAAUUGAUGGGGUUAUCCGUAAGGAGAAGCUCUUGAUCGAAGCCCCGGUAAACGGCGGCCGUAACUAUAACGGUCCUAAGGUAGCGAAAUUCCUUGUCGGGUAAGUUCCGACCUGCACGAAUGGCGUAAUGAUGGCCAGGCUGUCUCCACCCGAGACUCAGUGAAAUUGAACUCGCUGUGAAGAUGCAGUGUACCCGCGGCAAGACGGAAAGACCCCGUGAACCUUUACUAUAGCUUGACACUGAACACUGGUCCUUGAUGUGUAGGAUAGGUGGGAGGCUUUGAAGUGUGGACGCCAGUCUGCAUGGAGCCAUCCUUGAAAUACCACCCUUUAAUGGCUGGUGUUCUAACGUGGACCCGUAAUCCGGGUUGCGGACAGUGUCUGGUGGGUAGUUUGACUGGGGCGGUCUCCUCCUAAAGAGUAACGGAGGAGCACGAAGGUUAGCUAAUCCUGGUCGGACAUCAGGAGGUUAGUGCAAAGGCAUAAGCUAGCUUGACUGCGAGAGUGACGGCUCGAGCAGGUGCGAAAGCAGGUCUUAGUGAUCCGGUGGUUCUGAAUGGAAGGGCCAUCGCUCAACGGAUAAAAGGUACUCCGGGGAUAACAGGCUGAUACCGCCCAAGAGUUCAUAUCGACGGCGGUGUUUGGCACCUCGAUGUCGGCUCAUCACAUCCUGGGGCUGAAGUAGGUCCCAAGGGUAUGGCUGUUCGCCAUUUAAAGUGGUACGCGAGCUGGGUUUAGAACGUCGUGAGACAGUUCGGUCCCUAUCUGCCGUGGGCGCUGGAGAAUUGAGGGGGGCUGCUCCUAGUACGAGAGGACCGGAGUGGACGCAUCACUGGUGUUCGGGUUGUCAUGCCAAUGGCAUUGCCCGGUAGCUAAAUGCGGAAGAGAUAAGUGCUGAAAGCAUCUAAGCACGAAACUUGCCCCGAGAUGAGUUCUCCCUGACUCCUUGAGAGUCCUGAAGGAACGUUAAAGACGAUGACGUUGAUAGGUCGGGUGUGUAAGUGUAGCGAUACAUUGAGCUAACCGAUACUAAUGAACCGUGAGGCUUAACCUU
Molecule: ribosomal RNA, 2304 nt
Filed under: Citrobacter sp. Cf088
Lineage: Bacteria; Pseudomonadati; Pseudomonadota; Gammaproteobacteria; Enterobacterales; Enterobacteriaceae
Description: partial 23S ribosomal RNA
Rfam family: Bacterial large subunit ribosomal RNA
Source: RNAcentral